RNAcentral lists this ribosomal RNA (312 nucleotides) under Crepidula fornicata. Its description in RNAcentral is "eukaryotic LSU rRNA". It matches the Rfam family "Eukaryotic large subunit ribosomal RNA", at positions 666 to 946 of the family's 3401-position model. Lineage: Eukaryota; Metazoa; Mollusca; Gastropoda; Littorinimorpha; Calyptraeidae. The record is from RNAcentral.
CCAAGGAGUCUAACAUGCGCGCGAGUCGUUGGGUCGUACGAAACCCGAAGGCGAAGUGAAAGCGAGGGCCGUCUCUGACGUGCUCAGGUGGGAUCCCGUUCCCUUCCGGGGGGCGGGCGCACCACCGGCCCGUCUCGUCCGCGUUGUCGGUGAGGCGGAGCAGGAGCGUGCACGUUGGGACCCGAAAGAUGGUGAACUAUGCCUGAGUAGGACGAAGCCAGAGGAAACUCUGGUGGAGGUCCGCAGCGAUUCUGACGUGCAAAUCGAUCGUCAAACUUGGGUAUAGGGGCGAAAGACUAAUCGAACCAUCUA